Molecule: ribosomal RNA, 570 nt
Filed under: Phallus calongei
Lineage: Eukaryota; Fungi; Basidiomycota; Agaricomycetes; Phallales; Phallaceae
Description: eukaryotic LSU rRNA
Rfam family: Eukaryotic large subunit ribosomal RNA (bases 1-455)
Source: RNAcentral
UAGUAACGGCGAGUGAAGCGGGAACAGCUCAAAUUUGUAAUCUGGCGGCCUUCGGUNGUCCGAGUUGUAAUCUGGAGAAGCGCUUUCAGUGCCGGCCCGCGUACAAGUCCCCUGGAACGGGGCGUCGCAGAGGGUGAGAAUCCCGUCUCUGACGCGGUCACGCCGGCGCGUUGCGAUGCGCUCUCGAAGAGUCGAGUUGUUUGGGAAUGCAGCUCAAAACGGGUGGUAAAUUCCAUCUAAAGCUAAAUACUGGCGAAAGACCGAUAGCGAACAAGUACCGUGAGGGAAAGAUGAAAAGCACUUUGGAAAGAGAGUCAAACAGUACGUGAAAUUGUUGAAAGGGAAACGCUUGAAGUCAGUCGCGUCUCCCGGGACUCAGUCGCGCCGUCAAAGGCGCGGCGUACUUCCCGGGUCUGGACGGGCCAGCGUCGAUUUCGACCGUCGUACAAAGGCGCGGGGAACGUGGCACCCUUUCUGGGUGUGUUAUAGCCCCGCGUCCCGUAUGCGACGGUGGGGAUCGAGGAUUGCAGCGCGCCCGCAAGGGUCGGGGUUCGCCCACGUAACGCGCUU